This 1086-nucleotide ribosomal RNA is filed under the name uncultured haloarchaeon. RNAcentral describes it as "bacterial SSU rRNA". It matches the Rfam family "Archaeal small subunit ribosomal RNA", at positions 263 to 1346 of the family's 1478-position model. Lineage: Archaea; Methanobacteriati; Methanobacteriota; Halobacteria; Halobacteriales; Halobacteriaceae. The record is from RNAcentral.
AUCGGUACGGGUGAUGAGAGUCAGAGCCCGGAGACGGAAUCUGAGACAAGAUUCCGGGCCCUACGGGGCGCAGCAGGCGCGAAACCUUUACACUGCACGGAAGUGCGAUAGGGGAAUCCCAAGUGCGAGGGCAUAUUAGCCCUCGCUUUUGUUGACUGUAAGGUGGUCAACGAAUAAGAGCUGGGCAAGACCGGUGCCAGCCGCCGCGGUAAUACCGGCAGCUCAAGUGAUGUCCCAUAUUAUUGGGCCUAAAGCGUCCGUAGCUGGCCAACCAAGUCUAUCGGGAAAUCCACCUGCCCAACGGGUGGGCGUCCGGUAGAAACUGGCUGGCUUGGAACCGGAAGGCUCAGAGAGUACGUCCGGGGUAGGAGUGAAAUCCUGUAAUCCCGGACGGACUACCGAUGGCGAAAGCACUCUGAGAAGACGGCUUCGACAGUGAGGGACGAAAGCUCGGGUCUCAAACCGGAUUAGAUACCCGGGUAGUCCGAGCCGUAAACGAUGCUCGUUAGGUGUGGCACCCACUACGAGUGGGUGCUGUGCCGUAGGGAAGCCGCUAAACGAGCCGCCUGGGAAGUACGUCCGCAAGGAUGAAACUUAAAGGAAUUGGCGGGGGAGCACUACAACCGGAGGAGCCUGCGGUUUAAUUGGACUCAACGCCGGACAUCUCACCAGCACCGACAGUAGCAGUGACGGUCAGUUUGAUGAGCUUACCUGAGCUACUGAGAGGAGGUGCAUGGCCGCCGUCAGCUCGUACCGUGAGGCGUCCUGUUAAGUCAGGCAACGAGCGAGACCCGCACUCCUAGUUGCCAGCAGCAUCUUGCGAUGGCUGGGUACACUAGGAGGACUGCCGCUGCCAAAGCGGAGGAAGGAACGGGCAACGGUAGGUCAGUAUGCCCCGAAUGUGCUGGGCGACACGCGGGCUACAAUGGCCGGGACAGUGGGACGCCAGUCCGAGAGGACGCGCUAAUCCCCGAAACCCGGUCGUAGUUCGGAUUGAGGGCUGAAACUCGCCCUCAUGAAGCUGGAUUCGGUAGUAAUCGCGUGUCAGAAGCGCGCGGUGAAUCCGUCCCUGCCCCUUGCACACAA